ACAUAUUUCUCCUUGGUCUGCAUAAGUUGAUUCAUCUCAUCAGCACUUUCUGAUCAAUUGAUACGUUUUUGAAAGCGUGUUUUUGGCAAUUGCUUUCUAAUGUGUGAAAUGAUACCAUCUUGGGUAUUAAUGAAAAUGGAUGCUAAUGCAAUAAACAGAAGUACUUUUCACAUCAAGGCCCUUCCCUAGUGACACAGGAUCAUUGAGCAUCUUCAAGUGUUUUUCCUUUUACAAAUUGUCAGGUGAACAUUUUCUGAUUUGUAAAUUUGUUUUUUAAAAAAGCUGUUUGCAUCAUGAUGCAGGAUUUGAAAUCGAUUUGUUUUGGUAACUUUUAAUUUCUAAGGAUGCAUCGCUCUGCAUUUAUCAGAAGUGGCUUUAUUGGAGGGGUAUAUAAUGAGCUGUUAACCCCUUGUUUGCGUGAGUGGAUAUGGGUCUUGCUUCCAUCUGCAGUUCUGACUCCAGAGCCUCCUCCCACUCAGGUCAGAGCUGGAGGGGGAUGCCUGUUUCCACAGUGUACUCUGCUGAUGAGUCAUGCCCUUCAGCACACAGAUGACAGAAGUGCCUAGAAGCCUUGGUUGCUGACCAGGAAACCUGUGGAAGGCACCAAACAGAAACAGAGACUAUACCACAAGUGGAGACAGAUCUACAAAGGAUAUAAUGAAGAUGAAGUUUAAAACUAUGGACUUACACACUGGAAUGGACAUCUGUGAACAGACCUUUGAACCUGCUUGACAUGGACAAUGUUGUUUCACCCCCAUUAGUAAUGUUAAUGCAUGUUAAAACCAUUGUACCCCAGUUGUAAAUUCAUAUUUUAUUCCCUUAUAAGUUUUCCCUCAUGAACUCUCCUCCCUGAUUGGUUGUUCAGUCCCCUGUUAUGAUUGGUGAGAUUUUGCCGCAGUAAGGCAGUCUCACCACACCCCCCAGAUCAUCCUAUAGGUUAAAAGUUAAUGUAUUCCCUCUGUUACUCCCCUAUUGGUUCUCCCCUUAUGUCAAUCACAUACUCCUCCCAGUUUCUAGACCCUUCCUUCCUUAACCCUAUAUAAGUCCUGUUCGCCCUUUGUUCUGGGCAGCAUCUUCCCGGCUCAGCGCCAGGAAGUGCCCUCACGCCUCCUGUACCAUCAAUAAACCUGCUGCAGACUGCGAA
Myiozetetes cayanensis is the source of this 1144-nucleotide long non-coding RNA. RefSeq lists it as uncharacterized. The record is from RefSeq and is a predicted model, not a curated record. NCBI's taxonomy places the organism in Eukaryota, Metazoa, Chordata, Aves, Passeriformes, Tyrannidae. The transcript is spliced from 2 exons.